ACUAACUAGGAUUCCCUCAGUAGCGGCGAGUGAACAGGGAUCUGCCCAGCGCUGAAUCGCACCGUCCGAUCAACGGGCGCGAGCGAAGUGUAGUGUUUGGGAGGACCUAUUAACCCGGUGUCGCGGGGCGAGUCCAAGUCCUUCUUGAACGGGGCCACUUACCCACAGAGGGUGCCAGGCCCGUAGGACUGCCGCCGCACGUCGGAGAGGUUCCUCCCCAGAGUCAGGUUGCUUGAGAGUGCAGCCCUAAGCAGGUGGUAAACUCCAUCUAAGGCAAAAUAACACCACGAGACCGAUAGCAAACAAGUACCGUGAGGGAAAGUUGAAAAGAACUUUGAAGAGAGAGUUCAAAAGUACGUGAAACCGUUCAGGGGUAAACCUGAGAAACCCGAGAGUCUGAAACGGGAGAUUCAUCACGUCUCUGAGCCGCCGACGAACACCCGGUGACGAGCGGCCCGAUAGGGUCCAAUCGCACCGCAGCUAGCCGUGCGGCGAAGAAUGUGUGCACUUCUCCCAAAGUAAGAACGUCGCGAGCCGUUGGAUGCCGGUCUAAGGCCCGAUGGGGAGCCCCGGAGUGGCGCGUUCGCGCGCGCAUUCCCGGACCCGCGGAGUCCGGCCGGCGUCUCCGACGGCACAACAAAGGCACGGAGCCGCGAUCGUUCGCGUCCGGCCCGUCACAAGCGCGUCCGGUCACCCGGAACUCGGACCUGGUGCCGAUUCAGGAGCCGGGCGGCUGCUGGUGGCGGUGCUCUCGGACAGCCUCCGCACAUGCCUCUCCGCGACGCUUUAGCUAAGGGUUACUUCUCAGGACCCGUCUUGAAACACGGACCAAGGAGUCUAGCAUGUACGCGAGUCAUUGGGAGUCUUUAAACCCAUUGGCGCAAUGAAUGUGAAGACCGCUUCGCGCGGCUUUUUAGGGAGGAUGGGAAUCCGCACGGAGACCCCGCACUCCCGGGGCGUCUCGUACUCAUCGCGAGUUGAGGCGCACCUAGAGCGCACACGCUGGUACCCGAAAGAUGGUGAACUAUGCCUGGUCAGGACGAAGUCAGGGGAAACCCUGAUGGAGGUCCGUAGCGAUUCUGACGUGCAAAUCGAUCGUCGGAACUGGGUAUAGGGGCGAAAGACUAAUCGAACCAUCUAGUAGCUGGUUCCCUCCGAAGUUUCCCUCAGGAUAGCUGGCGCUCGUUCGGUACGAGUCUCAUCCGGUAAAGCGAAUGAUUAGAGGCAUUGGGGUCGAAACGGCCUCAACCUAUUCUCAAACUUUAAAUGGGUGAGAUCUCCGGCUUGCUUAAAUGUGAAGCCGCGAGAUUCGGAUCAGAG
Molecule: ribosomal RNA, 1320 nt
Filed under: Austrotachinus sp. DDM1183
Lineage: Eukaryota; Metazoa; Arthropoda; Insecta; Coleoptera; Staphylinidae
Description: eukaryotic LSU rRNA
Rfam family: Eukaryotic large subunit ribosomal RNA
Source: RNAcentral